RNAcentral lists this ribosomal RNA (115 nucleotides) under Candidatus Komeilibacteria bacterium CG_4_9_14_0_2_um_filter_36_13. Lineage: Bacteria; Candidatus Komeiliibacteriota. RNAcentral also lists the same sequence under 2 other names. The record is from RNAcentral.
UCUCGUGAUGCUAGCGGACUGGUCACACCUGAUCCCAUUCCGAACUCAGCAGUUAAGCAGUUUAGCGCCGAUGGUAGUUACCCUUAAGGGUUGCGAGAGUAGGUCGUCGCGAGAA